UUGAACGCUGGCGGCAGGCCUAACACAUGCAAGUCGCGCGGAUGAAGGGAGCUUGCUCCUGGAUUCAGCGGCGGACGGGUGAGUAAUGCCUAGGAAUCUGCCUGGUAGUGGGGGAUAACGUCCGGAAACGGGCGCUAAUACCGCAUACGUCCUGAGGGAGAAAGUGGGGGAUCUUCGGACCUCACGCUAUCAGAUGAGCCUAGGUCGGAUUAGCUAGUUGGUGGGGUAAAGGCCUACCAAGGCGACGAUCCGUAACUGGUCUGAGAGGAUGAUCAGUCACACUGGAACUGAGACACGGUCCAGACUCCUACGGGAGGCAGCAGUGGGGAAUAUUGGACAAUGGGUGAAAGCCUGAUCCAGCCAUGCCGCGUGUGUGAAGAAGGUCUUCGGAUUGUAAAGCACUUUAAGUUGGGAGGAAGGGCAGUAAGUUAAUACCUUGCUGUUUUGACGUUACCAACAGAAUAAGCACCGGCUAACUUCGUG
RNAcentral lists this ribosomal RNA (483 nucleotides) under uncultured bacterium. Its description in RNAcentral is "partial 16S ribosomal RNA". It matches the Rfam family "Bacterial small subunit ribosomal RNA", at positions 30 to 507 of the family's 1533-position model. The record is from RNAcentral.